This 465-nucleotide ribosomal RNA is filed under the name Vreelandella stevensii. RNAcentral describes it as "partial 16S ribosomal RNA". It matches the Rfam family "Bacterial small subunit ribosomal RNA", at positions 338 to 795 of the family's 1533-position model. The record is from RNAcentral. Lineage: Bacteria; Pseudomonadati; Pseudomonadota; Gammaproteobacteria; Oceanospirillales; Halomonadaceae.
CCUACGGGGGGCUGCAGUUGGGAAUAUUGGACAAUGGGGGGAACCCUGAUCCAGCCAUGCCGCGUGUGUGAAGAAGGCCCUCGGGUUGUAAAGCACUUUCAGUGAGGAAGAACGCCUGGUGGUUAAUACCCAUCAGGAAAGACAUCACUCACAGAAGAAGCACCGGCUAACUCCGUGCCAGCAGCCGCGGUAAUACGGAGGGUGCGAGCGUUAAUCGGAAUUACUGGGCGUAAAGCGCGCGUAGGUGGCUUGAUAAGCCGGUUGUGAAAGCCCCGGGCUCAACCUGGGAACGGCAUCCGGAACUGUCAAGCUAGAGUGCAGGAGAGGAAGGUAGAAUUCCCGGUGUAGCGGUGAAAUGCGUAGAGAUCGGGAGGAAUACCAGUGGCGAAGGCGGCCUUCUGGACUGACACUGACACUGAGGUGCGAAAGCGUGGGUAGCAAACAGGAUUAGAUACCCCUGUAGUC